GACGAACGCUGGCGGCGUGCUUAACACAUGCAAGUCGUACGGUAAGGCCCUUUCGGGGGUACACGAGUGGCGAACGGGUGAGUAACACGUGAGUAACCUGCCCACAACUUUGGGAUAACGCUAGGAAACUGGUGCUAAUACUGGAUAUGUGCUCCUGCUGCAUGGUGGGGGUUGGAAAGCUCCGGCGGUUGUGGAUGGACUCGCGGCCUAUCAGCUUGUUGGUGGGGUAGUGGCCUACCAAGGCGGCGACGGGUAGCCGGCCUGAGAGGGUGACCGGCCACAUUGGGACUAAGAUACGGCCCAGACUCCUACGGGUGGCAGCAGUGGGGAAUAUUGCACAAUGGGCGCAAGCCUGAUGCAGCAACGCCGCGUGCGGGAUGACGGCCUUCGGGUUGUAAACCGCUUUCAGCAGGGACGAAGCUUUUUGUGGCGGUACCUGCAGAAGAAGCACCGGCUAACUACGUG
RNAcentral lists this ribosomal RNA (465 nucleotides) under uncultured bacterium. RNAcentral's name for it is "partial 16S ribosomal RNA". It matches the Rfam family "Bacterial small subunit ribosomal RNA", at positions 28 to 507 of the family's 1533-position model. The record is from RNAcentral.